GACGAACGCUGGCGGCGUGCUUAACACAUGCGAGUCGAACGGAAAGGCCCCUUUGGGGGUACUCGAGUGGCGAACGGGUGAGUAACACGUGAGUAACCUGCCCUUGACUUCGGGAUAACUUCAGGAAACUGGGGCUAAUACCGGAUAGGAAUCCUUGCUGCAUGGUGGGGGUUGGAAAGCUUCGGCGGUUUUGGAUGGACUCGCGGCUUAUCAGCUUGUUGGUGGGGUAGUGGCUUACCAAGGCUUUGACGGGUAGCCGGCCUGAGAGGGAGACCGGCCACAUUGGGACUGAGACACGGCCCAGACGCCUACGGGAGGCAGAAGUGGGGAAUAUUGCACAAUGGGCGGAAGCCUGAUGCAGCAACGCCGCGGGCGGGAUGACGGCCUUCGGGUUGUAAACCGCUUUCAGCAGGGGCGAAGCUUGUGGUGACGGUACCUGCAGAAGAAGCACCGGCUAACUACGUG
This 465-nucleotide ribosomal RNA is filed under the name uncultured bacterium. RNAcentral describes it as "partial 16S ribosomal RNA". It matches the Rfam family "Bacterial small subunit ribosomal RNA", at positions 28 to 507 of the family's 1533-position model. The record is from RNAcentral.